Molecule: ribosomal RNA, 253 nt
Filed under: uncultured bacterium
Lineage: Bacteria
Description: partial 16S ribosomal RNA
Rfam family: Bacterial small subunit ribosomal RNA
Source: RNAcentral
UACGGGGGGGGCAAGCGUUGUUCGGAAUUACUGGGCGUAAAGGGCUCGUAGGCGGCCAACUAAGUCCGACGUGAAAUCCCCAGGCUUAACCUGGGAACUGCGUCGGAUACUGGAUGGCUUGAAUUCGGGAGAGGGAUGCAGAAUUCCAGGUGUAGCGGUGAAAUGCGUAGAUAUCUGGAGGAACACCGGUGGCGAAGGCGGCAUCCUGGACCGGUAUUGACGCUGAGGCGCGAAAGCUAGGGGAGCAAACGGG